AGAACGAACGUUGGCGGCAUGGAUUAGGCAUGCAAGUCGAAUGAAUGCUGGGUAGCAAUAUCUAGCGGAAAUGGCGAAAGGGGCAGUAAUACAUGGAUAACCUACCCGUGGGGAUGGGCAUAGCCGGUCUAACGGCCGGUAAUACCCAGAGAGUCGACGAUGUGGCAUCACAAUGUCGGGAAAUGAAUUUCGCCGUCGGGAGGGUCCAUGAGCUAUCAGUCUAGGUUGGUGGGGUAACCGCCCACGAAGGCUUAGACGGUCUAGCGGGUGUCGAGACGCACGACCCGCGCCACGUGCACUGACG
RNAcentral lists this ribosomal RNA (304 nucleotides) under uncultured soil bacterium. RNAcentral describes it as "bacterial SSU rRNA". It matches the Rfam family "Bacterial small subunit ribosomal RNA", at positions 26 to 324 of the family's 1533-position model. The record is from RNAcentral.